GAAGUGGCGGUAACGCCCGGCCCUGCCCCCAGCAGAGGCGGAAGCGGUGUCGCUCUGAGGGGUCGCCAGUCGCCGCAGGCGCUUCAGCCCAGCGGCGGGCCUUGGCCCUUGGCUGCCUACUCCUACCGCCCCAGCCCCGGGCGGCCCUGGGCCUGCUGCGGGCGCGGCGCUGCCCGACCAGAGCUUCCUGUGGAACGUCUUCCAGAGGGUCGAUAAAGACAGGAGUGGAGUGAUAUCAGACACCGAGCUUCAGCAAGCUCUCUCCAACGGUGAGUGGGCCAGUGGGAACUGGGUCUCCGGACCAAGAAGCCGUGAGCCUGCCCUGUUCACAGUGGAUAACUUUCUGAAGUUGUUUUUCCAAGGACAAAGGAAUCAUUAGGACAAAUUGUUAAUACUGCUUCAUGGUGGAGAUGCUUCUGGUUUAUUUUGUGGCUACCGCUGUUACUGCUUGGAGUGCCUCACCGAGCCAGGAUGAAGCCCCACCCGCCCUUCAGGAUGCCAGCCUUGGCAACAUCGUGAGACCCUGUUUCUACAAAAACUAAACAAGUGUAGUGGUGCACGCCUGUAUUCCCAGCUACUUGGGAGGCUGAGAUGGGAAGAUCACUUGAGCCUGGGAGGUUGAGGCUGCAUUGAGCUGAGAUCAAGCCACGGCACUCCAGCCUGGGAGACAGAGCGAAACCCCAUCUCAAAAAAACAAAGAAAGUGGAUGCGUGCUGCUCCUGCCAUUGGAUCAUCGCAGCAUUUUUCUUUUCUCUGAUAUGCGCCUUUUUCCUCAUCGUGGGGGCUCAUGUUUUCGUAAUUCCCUCUCGCUACUAGAUUGUGAGCUGUGUGAAGGAAGGUUCAUAGUUGAGUUGUAUGUACAGGCACACAAAAUUUGUCCUUGGAUAGACACAUAUCAAUCCACUUCCUUCUCCUCUCUGAAUUUCUUUAUUUAAAAAAAAAAGUAGAGAUGGAGUCUCACUGUCUUGCCCAGGCUGGUGUCAAACUCCUAGGCUCAAGUGAUCCUCCCACCUCUACUAAUAUGAAUUAUUAGGCUAUGCUAAUAUGAAUUUGUAUACUAAUAUGAUUGAAAUUAGUUUGACUUCUAUAAUAAUUGUUCUCCCAGAUUGGGCUUCUGUUUUGAUAGUAGAACUAAAUUAUUAGGCUAUUUCAAGAAAUUAAUAUAUUACUGGUAGAAAAACUGAAGCUACAAAAUGGCCUGGUUUCUCACUUCAGUUAAAUUUGUGCUUCUGAGUGCUUGUAUUCUAGGUGAAACCGCACUGAGAAGGUAUUUGUGGCCUAUACGCUGAUUCAUUGAUUAGACUUCUUUGCACAGGAGAGCUGCUAAAAAUUACUGCGGUGAACAGGUACGAAGAAAAAGACUGUUCUCUGCCCUUCUUUUUGCAAUAAAAUGUUACAAACUAUCUUGAGUUUGAUCCCUUUUCGGGUGUUUGGGUUUUUUUUAACAUUCACAUAUUUCUUGGAAUUAUAAGAAAUUAACUUUGUGCUUCUGAAGUGGGUUUGCCUUAAUAUAACACUGAUGUAUUUGUAAGGGGCAUUUUUAAAGCUGUACUUUAAAAAAUAAUAAUUCUUACAUUCAUUUGAAGGUU
Molecule: long non-coding RNA, 1589 nt
Organism: Homo sapiens (human)
Lineage: Eukaryota; Metazoa; Chordata; Mammalia; Primates; Hominidae
Source: Ensembl